UGCAAGUCGAACGGUAACAUUUCUAGCUUGCUAGAAGAUGACGAGUGGCGGACGGGUGAGUAAUGCUUGGGAACUUGCCUUUGCGAGGGGGAUAACAGUUGGAAACGACUGCUAAUACCGCAUAAUGUCUUCGGACCAAACGGGGCUUCGGCUCCGGCGCAAAGAGAGGCCCAAGUGAGAUUAGCUAGUUGGUAAGGUAACGGCUUACCAAGGCGACGAUCUCUAGCUGUUCUGAGAGGAAGAUCAGCCACACUGGGACUGAGACACGGCCCAGACUCCUACGGGAGGCAGCAGUGGGGAAUAUUGCACAAUGGGGGAAACCCUGAUGCAGCCAUGCCGCGUGUGUGAAGAAGGCCUUCGGGUUGUAAAGCACCUUCAGUUGUGAGGAAAAGUUAGUAGUUAAUACCUGCUAGCCGUGACGUUAACAACAGAAGAAGCACCGGCUAACUCCGUGCCAGCAGCCGCGGUAAUACGGAGGGUGCGAGCGUUAAUCGGAAUUACUGGGCGUAAAGCGCACGCAGGCGGUUUGUUAAGCUAGAUGUGAAAGCCCCGGGCUCAACCUGGGAUGGUCAUUUAGAACUGGCAGACUAAAGUCUUGGA
Molecule: ribosomal RNA, 600 nt
Filed under: uncultured bacterium
Lineage: Bacteria
Description: bacterial SSU rRNA
Rfam family: Bacterial small subunit ribosomal RNA
Source: RNAcentral